RNAcentral lists this ribosomal RNA (485 nucleotides) under Cronobacter dublinensis. RNAcentral's name for it is "bacterial SSU rRNA". It matches the Rfam family "Bacterial small subunit ribosomal RNA", at positions 30 to 504 of the family's 1533-position model. The record is from RNAcentral. Lineage: Bacteria; Pseudomonadati; Pseudomonadota; Gammaproteobacteria; Enterobacterales; Enterobacteriaceae.
AUUGAACGCUGGCGGCAGGCCUAACACAUGCAAGUCGAGCGGUARCACAGGGAGCUUGCUCCCGGGUGACGAGCGGCGGACGGGUGAGUAAUGUCUGGGAAACUGCCUGAUGGAGGGGGAUAACUACUGGAAACGGUAGCUAAUACCGCAUAACGUCUUCGGACCAAAGUGGGGGACCUUCGGGCCUCAUGCCAUCAGAUGUGCCCAGAUGGGAUUAGCUAGUAGGUGGGGUAAAGGCUCACCUAGGCGACGAUCCCUAGCUGGUCUGAGAGGAUGACCAGCCACACUGGAACUGAGACACGGUCCAGACUCCUACGGGAGGCAGCAGUGGGGAAUAUUGCACAAUGGGCGCAAGCCUGAUGCAGCCAUGCCGCGUGUAUGAAGAAGGCCUUCGGGUUGUAAAGUACUUUCAGCGAGGAGGAAGGUGUUGUGGUUAAUAACCRCAGCAAUUGACGUUACUCGCAGAAGAAGCACCGGCUAACUCC